This is a non-coding RNA of Tersicoccus sp. Bi-70, 117 nucleotides long. The record is from Rfam. NCBI's taxonomy places the organism in Bacteria, Bacillati, Actinomycetota, Actinomycetes, Micrococcales, Micrococcaceae.
AAUCAUGAGUUCCAGCCACGCGGCCCUGGCCGGCUGGACGGCAACCCUCGCCGCUGUCGCGGGGUGCCCCAGGUGACGAUUCGGCCCGCGCGCCAACGCCGUGGGCAAGGAUGGCGG